RNAcentral lists this non-coding RNA (45 nucleotides) under Schistosoma mansoni. The record is from RNAcentral. Lineage: Eukaryota; Metazoa; Platyhelminthes; Trematoda; Strigeidida; Schistosomatidae.
AUCCAGCUGACGAAUCCCAAAUUGGAUGAAACGCACAUCCUGGAU